Molecule: ribosomal RNA, 433 nt
Filed under: uncultured bacterium
Lineage: Bacteria
Description: partial 16S ribosomal RNA
Rfam family: Bacterial small subunit ribosomal RNA
Source: RNAcentral
AACGAACGCUGGCGGCAUGCCUAACACUUGCAAGUCGAACGAGACCUUCGGGUCUAGUGGCGCACGGGUGCGUAACGCGUGGGAACCUGCCCUUAGGUUCGGAAUAACUCCCCGAAAGGGGUGCUAAUACCGGAUAAUGUCUUCGGACCAAAGAUUUAUCGCCUUUGGAUGGGCCCGCGUUGGAUUAGCUAGUUGGUAGGGUAAAAGCCUACCAAGGCGACGAUCCAUAGCUGGUCUGAGAGGAUGAUCAGCCACACUGGGACUGAGACACGGCCCCGACUCCUACGGGAGGGCGGCGGUGGGAAUAUUGGAACAUGGGCGAAAGCCUGAUCCAGCAAUGCCGCGUGAGUGAUGAAGGCCUUAGGGUUGUAAAGCUCUUUUACCCGGGAUGAUAAUGACAGUACCGGGAGAAUAAGCUCCGGCUAACUCCGUG